UACGGGAGGCAGCAGUGGGGAAUAUUGCACAAUGGGCGAAAGCCUGAUGCAGCGACGCCGCGUGAGGGAUGACGGCCUUCGGGUUGUAAACCUCUUUCAGCAGGGAAGAAGCGCAAGUGACGGUACCUGCAGAAGAAGCGCCGGCUAACUACGUGCCAGCAGCCGCGGUAAUACGUAGGGCGCAAGCGUUGUCCGGAAUUAUUGGGCGUAAAGAGCUCGUAGGCGGCUUGUUGCGUCGGAUGUGAAAGCCCGGGGCUUAACCCCGGGUCUGCAUUCGAUACGGGCAGGCUAGAGUUCGGUAGGGGAGAUCGGAAUUCCUGGUGUAGCGGUGAAAUGCGCAGAUAUCAGGAGGAACACCGGUGGCGAAGGCGGAUCUCUGGGCCGAUACUGACGCUGAGGAGCGAAAGCGUGGGGAGCGAACAGGAUUAGAUACCCUGGUAGUCCACGCCGUAAACGUUGGGAACUAGGUGUGGGCGACAUUCCACGUCGUCCGUGCCGCAGCUAACGCAUUAAGUUCCCCGCCUGGGGAGUACGGCCGCAAGGCUAAAACUCAAAGGAAUUGACGGGGGCCCGCACAAGCAGCGGAGCAUGUGGCUUAAUUCGACGCAACGCGAAGAACCUUACCAAGGCUUGACAUACACCGGAAACGGCCAGAGAUGGUCGCCCCCUUGUGGUCGGUGUACAGGUGGUGCAUGGC
RNAcentral lists this ribosomal RNA (697 nucleotides) under Streptomyces sp. RNAcentral describes it as "bacterial SSU rRNA". It matches the Rfam family "Bacterial small subunit ribosomal RNA", at positions 340 to 1049 of the family's 1533-position model. Lineage: Bacteria; Bacillati; Actinomycetota; Actinomycetes; Kitasatosporales; Streptomycetaceae. The record is from RNAcentral.